AGAAAUAAUUGACACUCAUAGCCAGUCUCGUGGCCAUGGGUAAAGUCCUCAGUUUUUCACUUGUAUAAAGUUCAUGAAGGGUUAAGAGUGUCAUAACAGAGACCAGCAACUAAGUGAGAAUAUGAUUCUUCUAUGCACAUCUGGCUGACAUGAUUGUCGUGCUCACACAUGAACAGGGCCUAGGAAUGAGGUGGUAUUGCUCCAUAUGCCUGAGACCCUAACAAAAGCCUAAUUACAACUCAUAUGCCUGGAGCCAGGACAUGUGCAGGAUGGUGAUGUAACUUUCCUCUCUGGAAUGGGUCCUGCACAAAGGAAUGAUAGUAACAUAUUGCAAAGCCAGACACACAGCCAUGAUGGUCCAAGUUAUAUUGGGAUUCAGCCAAUAGAAGAUAUUUUGCCUGUCAUCCCUAAGCUUAGGACAAUAGGGUCCUGCCCACAAGAAAGAUUGUGACAUCUCACUGGACAAGCACCCACCCAGACUCUGCCAAGAGAGGGGAUUAUUACAUAUUGCAGAGCCCAGCACCUAGGUGGAGUGACUCUCAUCUUUUUCUUCUACCCCGUAUAUAGCCAGCUUGGUGACCUACUAUUUGAGUCUAUACCCAGGCCCAGACCACAGAUGAAAUUGUGCAAUAUGUGGAACAAACACCUAAACAAUAUAUAACACCUUCCUUGGCUCUGUCUACAAAGGGCACUUUUAUAUAUCACUGGGACCAUCAACCAGGUGAUGUUAAUUAUCUUCCUGAAACCUGUCUACAAAGAGAGUUGUGUCGUAUACCUAGGCCCGUCAUGUAAGUGAUGUCAGUCCCUUCUACUGCCUUGGCCCUGCACUUACAGUGCAUUGUGACACAUAACAAGGUACUGCACACAGACGAUGUGAUUCUCCUUUUUGGGUUCUGCCAAAAGGAAGCAUUGUAAUAAAUCGCUUGGCUCAGUACCAAGGUGAUGUUUCUUUGCUUUUGCCUGGGCCCUGAUAACAGGGAGAUUGUGAUCUAUUGCUGGGCCCAACAAAAAUGUGAGGUCACUCUCCAGCCGUGGUACUUCACAUAAGCGCCAUUGUGACAUGUAUCUAGGCCAAUUGCCUAGGUGAAGUGAGUUUCCUCUCUUGCCAAAGUCCUGCCCACAGAGGGGGUUUUGAUAUGUCACUGAAAUCAGCAUUCAGGUGAUGUGACUCUUCUGCCAGGGUCCUGCGUACUAGGUGGAUUGUGACAUCUCACUGGACCCGCAACCAUGUAGGUCAUGUGACUUUCAUGCCUUCUCACUGGCCACAGGUGAUGUUGUGCCAUAUAACUGAGACCGUAUCAAAAGCCUAAUAACAAGACGUAUGUCUGGAGCCCCGAUAUGCACAGGAUGGUGAUAUAACCCUCUUCUCUGGAAUGGGCCCCACACAAAGGAAGGAUAGUGACAUAUUGCAAGCCCAGGCACACAGGCCCAGAGCACAGUUGAAAUUGUGACAUAUGUACACCAAGCAACCAAGCAAUGUAUAACACCUCAUUUGGCAAUGGAAUCGAGGGCACUUUUACAUAUCACUGAGACCAGCGCCCAGCUGAUGUGAAAUAUUGGCCUGAACCCUGCCUACAAAAGCAUUGUGGCUUUUAUCUAGCUCCAUUACAUAAGUGAUGUGACUUCCUUCUACUGCCUUGGCCCUGCACUUAUGGUGAAUCGUGACACAAAAUUGGGUAGAGCAACCAGCCUGGGCCCUGACCAGCACAGAGAUUGAGGCAUAUUGCUGAACCCAGGACCAAGAUGAAGUCACUCUCCUGCCUUGAUCCUGCACACAGGGACCCUUGUGACAUAUAUACAGGCCAAUUGCCUAGGUGAUGUUGUGCAAUAUACCUGAGACCAGAUCAAUGGCCUAAUAAUGACUCUUUUACCUAGAGCCAGGACAUGUGCAGGAUGGUAACUCUCAUCCCUGAACCUUUCCACAGGUGUUAUUGUCACAUAUACCUUUUCCAGCUCCAAAGUGAUUUAAUAAUCCAGCCUAGUUAUAGCCCACAGAUAAUAUUUGGACAUAUACCUGAGUCAAGAACCUUGGUGAUUUGACUCUCAUGUCUUAACAGUGUCCUCAGAAGGGAUCAUAACAUAUCUCUGGACCCAUCAUCUAGGUUAUGUGACUCUCUUCUCCUGCCUGAACCCUGCUUCCAGUGAAGAGUGUUGCAUUUCUAAGCACUGCAUCCAAAUGACAUGAGUUUCUUGCCUGGGCCGUUUCAACAGAAGGCAUUGUGACAUAUCUCUAGGUCUAUCAUUUAGGUGAUAUGACUCUCCUCUCCUGCCUGGACACUCUCCACAAGGGGCAUUAUGCCAUAGAGCUAGAGCUAGCAACCAAGUUUUGUGAAUUUUCUGUUAGGGCCUUGCCUACAAAGAGAAUUUUGGAAUAUUUCUGGCUUAGAAUUUAAGUAAUGUGGUUGUUCUGCCUGUUCAGUAACCACAGAGGAGAAGGUGAAAUAUAUCUAGGCACCGCAAACAGGCAUGAUAAUGAGUCUUGUAUGUGGACCCAGCAAAUAGGAGAAAUUUUGACUCUUAUAACUAGGUUUAGGAACAUGAGUGAUGUCCAGGAUCUCCUUCUGGUAAGAAGGUCACAGAAGAUUGCAACACUCACAAUUAUUUUGUAACACCUUUGGGUUGUAUAGGGAGUGUCGUAACAGGGCCAAACACACAGAGGAAAUUGUGACAGUCAUAUGCACACCUACCUGACAGUAAAGACUUUCACAAUCACAAAUGGAUGAAGGCAACUGUCCUACAUGAAAACAGGACAUGUGUGGUAUUGUACAUCUAAAACCUAGAAUUUUAUUCCAUUGUGACUGUGAUAUAAAUCAAUGCCAAGCACCUGCGUGAUUUCA
Long non-coding RNA from Homo sapiens (human), 2837 nucleotides. Ensembl annotates it as long intergenic non-protein coding RNA 293. Lineage: Eukaryota; Metazoa; Chordata; Mammalia; Primates; Hominidae. The record is from Ensembl.